RNAcentral lists this ribosomal RNA (307 nucleotides) under uncultured bacterium. RNAcentral describes it as "bacterial SSU rRNA". It matches the Rfam family "Bacterial small subunit ribosomal RNA", at positions 22 to 329 of the family's 1533-position model. The record is from RNAcentral.
GCUCAGAACGAACGCUGGCGGCGUGCUUAACACAUGCAAGUCGAGCGGUAGCAGGCGUAGCAAUACGUGCUGACGAGCGGCGAACGGGUGAGUAAUGCUUUGGAAUCUGCCUAGUAGUGGGGAAUAACCUGGGGAAACUCAGGCUAAUACCGCAUACGACCUAAGGGUGAAAGCGGGGGAUCGCAAGACCUCGCGCUAUUAGAUGAGCCAAAGUCGGAUUAGCUAGUUGGUGGGUUAAAGGCCUACCAGGGAAACGAUCCGUAGCUGGUCUGAGAGGACGACCAGCCACACNGGUACCGAGACACGG